UACGUAGGGUGCGAGCGUUGUCCGGAUUUAUUGGGCGUAAAGGGCUCGUAGGCGGCGUGUCGCGUCGGGAGUGAAAGCCCGUUGCUUAACGGCGGGUUGGCCUUCGGUACGGGCAUGCUGGAGUGCGGCAGGGGAGACUGGAAUUCCUGGUGUAGCGGUGGAAUGCGCAGAUAUCAGGAGGAACACCGGUGGCGAAGGCGGGUCUCUGGGCCGUUACUGACGCUGAGGAGCGAAAGCGUGGGGAGCGAACAGG
RNAcentral lists this ribosomal RNA (253 nucleotides) under uncultured bacterium. RNAcentral's name for it is "partial 16S ribosomal RNA". It matches the Rfam family "Bacterial small subunit ribosomal RNA", at positions 524 to 776 of the family's 1533-position model. The record is from RNAcentral.